UGGCAAGCUUGGAGUAGAUGCAGUUGGAGAGUUAAGUUUUUCAUCACUGAGGCUGAAACUGCUCCUGUAGAGUGAAUCUGCACUCUCGGAGUCGCUGAGGCCGCUGCCGUCGCUGACGCUGGCGCUGCUCCGCCGCUUCAUGCGCUCCAGGUGCUCGCCGUAGUGGAAGCGGCUCCGGCCGGCGGGGCAGGCGAAGUCCUCCAGCACCGCCUCGAACUCGCCCAGCGCCUCCGCCAGCCCGCCCGCCUCCUCCGGCAACGCCGCGGGGCGCCGGCCGCCGGCUUGGCCCGCCGGACGCUGCACUUGAGGCGGC
RNAcentral lists this long non-coding RNA (313 nucleotides) under Gallus gallus (chicken). Lineage: Eukaryota; Metazoa; Chordata; Aves; Galliformes; Phasianidae. The record is from RNAcentral.